RNAcentral lists this ribosomal RNA (626 nucleotides) under uncultured archaeon. RNAcentral describes it as "bacterial SSU rRNA". It matches the Rfam family "Archaeal small subunit ribosomal RNA", at positions 31 to 662 of the family's 1478-position model. The record is from RNAcentral.
UAUUGGGAUUCGACUAAGCCAUGCGAGUCGUGAGGGUUCGGCCCUCGGCGAACGGCUCAGUAACACGUAGAUAAUUUGCCCUUAGGUGGAGGAUACCCUCGGGAAACUGAGAAUAAUACUCCAUAGAUUUAGAAUGCUGGAAUGCUUUUAAAUUGAAAGAUUUAUCGCCUAAGGAUAAGUCUGCGGACUAUCAGGUCGUAGUUAGGGUAAAUACCUGACUAGCCUACGACGGAUACGGGUUGUGAGAGCACUAGCCCGGAGAUGAUAUCUGAGACACGAUAUCAGGCCCUACGGGGCGCAGCAGGCGCGAAAACUUCGCACUGUGCGAAAGCACGACGAGGGAAUCCCAAGUGCUGGCUCGUAAGAGUCAGCUGUUUCUUUGUCUAAAAAACAGAGAGAGUAAGAGCUGGGUGAGGCGGGUGCCAGCCGCCGCGGUAAUACCUGCAGCUCAAGUGGUGGCCGCUAUUAUUGGGCCUAAAACGUCCGUAGCCGGUUCUAUAAAUGCCUGGGUAAAUCGUACGGCUUAACCGUACGAACUCCGGGUAGACUGUUCAACUUGGGACCGGGAGAGGCUAGAGGUACUCCUGGGGUAGAGGUGAAAUUCUGUAAUCCUAGGGGGACCACCA